RNAcentral lists this ribosomal RNA (1586 nucleotides) under Triticum aestivum (bread wheat). Its description in RNAcentral is "partial small subunit ribosomal RNA". The record is from RNAcentral. Lineage: Eukaryota; Viridiplantae; Streptophyta; Magnoliopsida; Poales; Poaceae.
UUACCUAGGGAAGCAAAGACUGGGGUGGCUAGGACACUGUUGGUCGGGGUUUUGCGUCCCUGUUCUCCUUCUCCCGGAACCUCGGCUGGGGAGGAAGUUAAGGGAAUGGUGACUCAGGCAGCAGCGCUCGGGGCUGCGCCUCCCGCCGCGGCGGCGGUGUGUCCGCCUGCUACUCCGCCUCUCACCCCGCGGGCCGAGGGGAAGGGGCGGGGCUGGCGGCGGAUCGUAGAGGCCCGCGGCGCUAGGAGAGUCCCGGCGCACGAAGGCCUCCGACCGACGGAGGACGCUUCGGGCGGCUGAGGCGCUCCGCCUCGAGGAGGCACGCAGAUUUGGCGGGCGCCUCUUCCGGCUCCUGGGGCUCCUCGGUUAGACCGGUGGUUUUUCGGCGGUAACCACCGCGAAGCACCUUGAUUUUUGAUACCCCAGGUCGGGCCGAUUAGGACACGGGUUGGGACUACUCUCAAGUAAUAGAGUAUAGUUCUCGGUUCUAUACAAUCGACUGUUCCAACACCUGGUUACCCUACUGUCACUGUGACUUUUGAGGAGACCUUCACGUAGUAUAGUUCAACAAGGAAUGUUCUUACGGGUCCCUCUUUUGUGGAAUGGACACGACAGAUUUUUUUCCUUUAAGUAAUAAUCAUGUAUAAGACACGUUACAUCAUGAACGGUCUUUACCUCUCAACAUGGUAGGUUUGACUUUAUACUCGUUUAAGCUCUCUUAUAAUAUGUUCAAGGAAAAAGAACGUUUAUACAGGUACCCACCUUCGGUGUUCAAUGUACGGUACUAGGUUGACUAUAUAGACUCCUAUUACCGUACCGUACCCGUUAACUAUAGGGUACGUAGGGAGUCUGGGGAGAACCCACCCUUUCCUUAUAAUGAGAUUCCUUACUUGUCUCGUGCUCUAAGCGACUACACAUGAUAUAGAGAGGGCGUCCGUCUUUUCAUUCUAGGUACUUUCUACAACUUUCCAUAGAACUUCUGUUGGGUCUGAUACGACGGGCGAAUGUCAAUAGAGUCAAAAGCAAGUCCCAUGGAUUUGGAGGUUUAACGGGAGCAGUCAGUCUCGAAUAACUUGGUUGACUUCACGGUGGAGGCCAAGUGCUCCUAGGGCACGUGUUGAUGUACGGCCAGGGAGUACCUCUUCGGUUAGUAAAUUGAGUAUAUGGUCAAUAUGAUCGAGAUGUUCAUGGUCACUACGAGAGGUUUUUCUCUUUUCAUUUGGUCACUACGAGGAGGUUUUUCUCUUUUCAUUUGGUCACUACGAGAGGUCUUUCUUUCUUUUUACGAGAUAGUCACUACAAGUUUAAAGUCUGAACUUUACACGAUCAAACGACAUAAUAGAACGACAAUUACAAGAUGGAAUCGAUUCGAGCGAGGGGAACACGGCAUGAAACGAGGUCGAACCGACCUUGACUCUCAAAAACCCUGUAGUUGUAGUUGUCUCCUUACAACAACGUCUUUCAAUAACUUUGACGGUGUAACGAAAAUGGAGUGAUACAAGCACACGACACUUACGGAUAUUGAAAUUCAAAUACGCACAACGUGUAGUAUUAGAGGACAUAUUCCAUGUCAACAAAAAUAACUC